RNAcentral lists this ribosomal RNA (460 nucleotides) under uncultured bacterium. RNAcentral's name for it is "partial 16S ribosomal RNA". It matches the Rfam family "Bacterial small subunit ribosomal RNA", at positions 338 to 795 of the family's 1533-position model. The record is from RNAcentral.
CCUACGGGUGGCAGCAGUGAGGAAUAUUGGUCAAUGGGCGCGAGCCUGAACCAGCCAAGUAGCGUGAAGGAUGACUGCCCUAUGGGUUGUAAACUUCUUUUAUUCGGGAAUAAUGAGCCUUACGUGUAGGGUUUUGAAUGUACUUUAUGAAUAAGGAUCGGCUAACUCCGUGCCAGCAGCCGCGGUAAUACGGAGGAUCCGAGCGUUAUCCGGAUUGAUUGGGUUUAAAGGGAGCGUAGGUGGGUUGUUAAGUUAGCUGUGAAAUUGCGAGGCUCAACCGUGGGGUUGCAGCUGAUACUGGAAGACUAGAGAUCGGAUGAGGCAGGCGGAAUUCGUGGUGUAGCGGUGAAAUGCUUAGAUAUUACGAAGAACUCCGAUUGCGAAGGCAGCUUGCUAGGCCGGAACUGACACUGAUGCUCGAAAGCGUGGGGAUCGAACAGGAUUAGAUACCCGAGUAGUC